GUCUAAGCUUCAAAAUGGCACAGCACUCAGAUACCCUAGUAUAUCAUAAUGUCUUUGACAUUUUCCUGAGGAAAAAGCAUGGAUUAUGAGUCAAUGUACAAAAGGAAGAAUAAAAGCUAUCUCUGUGGAAUUUAUGCUUCUAUGGAUGAUCAAAAGGAGCAUCCAACGGUAUAGCAGGGAACAUUCCAAGAAGGCUCCAUGAAAACUCUGGGACUUGAGGCAGCCUUUGAAAGCUGAGUGAAUUAUAUAAAACCCAUGCCCAAAUGCUACUUCCCAUGGUUGAAAGAAGUUGGGGUUUAGGACUGGGCACAUCUGGGUUCUAUCCUUGGCCUACCAUAUGCCAGCUUAGUAACUGGGUGCAAUUUUACUUAGCCUCCUCUGAGACUCAGUUUCCUCAACUUUAUGCUACUGAUCAAACCAACUGUGCAGAGUUCUCAUGAAUAAUGAGAUACACAAGAUACAUUUUUUUUUAUUGUCUGGCAAAUAGGUGCUCAACAAAUGCAUCAAUGGACACGCAAUUUGAAGCCAUCUUGAAAGCACGGGUGAAAAUACACUGUAUGAAAAGCUCUGGAGCCAUCAGGACUUCACAAGUACAACAGAGCAUCCCAUGACAACAGAGCCAACUUGGAAGUACUGUUCAUUGCCAUCGCAGAUUAAUUAUCAACUCCACUGCCUGCUCUUCAAGACUUGGGACCUUCAGAAAUGAAUCAAAUAUUAGAAAAUAUAAAGUUGGCUUCUGUUUACACCCCUGCUCAUUUCUACCUCUGUGGAUUGGAAGAUAAGAAAGCCAAAUUUCUUGCUCCCCAGGGUACCACUGAAGAUUCAUAUCCAUGGAACAGAGUCCAAUUAUAACAUUUCCUGAGAUUCUGAAAGUCUUAUGUGAUCAAGCUGAGAUUUUUUUGAUUGGGAUUGAGCUCCAUUAACCUUUCUCAAAGAGAAGGAAUCUUUUUGCACUGUGCUAAGGGACUCUACCCAUAUAAGUCAGCAUGUGACUUGCCAGAAUUUGAAAAGAAAAACCUGGCCUGGACUUAUGAAAGGGGCAUUGGAUCCUAAUUCUUCAGGCUGCUGCUUCUCCUGGCAACCUUUAAAGGAUAAUGUGGGACUGUGCUGAUACCAUCCGGGUGAAGGACAGCUUCAUUUCUAUUUAAAUUUACAUCUGUUGCAAACUCACAUCACAAUUAAAUGUGUUUCUUAGGUAUCUUACUAAAAUUGAGGCUCUUUGGCUCUUAUGUAAAUUUUCCAUUACGUAGAUGUUAAGGAAUGAGAAAAUCCAAAUUCUGGUGUACAAUCUAUUUUGGCAAGUAUUUAAAAAUUUCUGAGCCUGUUAAUUCCUCUGCAAACCAAACACUUUUGACUAGAUUCAAUUUUUUUUUUAAAUGUGGCACUUUGGCAACAUGGUAAAGUUUUUAUAUUCAUAGGCUAAAUAUAGA
Long non-coding RNA from Bos taurus (domestic cattle), 1430 nucleotides. The record is from Ensembl. NCBI's taxonomy places the organism in Eukaryota, Metazoa, Chordata, Mammalia, Artiodactyla, Bovidae.